CACGUAGGCGGCGAUUCAAGUCAGAGGUGAAAGCCCGGGGCUCAACCCCGGAACUGCCUUUGAAACUAGAUUGCUAGAAUCCUGGAGAGGUUAGUGGAAUUCCGAGUGUAGAGGUGAAAUUCGUAGAUAUUCGGAAGAACACCAGUGGCGAAGGCGACUAACUGGACAGGUAUUGACGCUGAGGUGCGAAAGCGUGGGAAGCAAACA
RNAcentral lists this ribosomal RNA (207 nucleotides) under uncultured bacterium. Its description in RNAcentral is "partial 16S ribosomal RNA". It matches the Rfam family "Bacterial small subunit ribosomal RNA", at positions 568 to 774 of the family's 1533-position model. The record is from RNAcentral.